UACGUAGGUGGCAAGCGUUGUCCGGAUUCAUUGGGCGUAAAGCGCCCGCAGGCGGCUCAGCAAGUUUCAGGUGAAAUCUCCCGGCUCAACUGGGAGGGGUCUUGGAAAACUGCUGGGCUUGAGGCAGGGAGAGGGAUGCGGAAUACCAGGUGUAGUGGUGAAAUGCGUAGAUAUCUGGUGGAACACCAGUGGCGAAGGCGGCAUCCUGGCCCUGUCCUGACGCUCAGGGGCGAAAGCGUGGGGAGCAAACCGGAUUAGAAACCCUCGUAGUCC
Molecule: ribosomal RNA, 273 nt
Filed under: uncultured bacterium
Lineage: Bacteria
Description: partial 16S ribosomal RNA
Rfam family: Bacterial small subunit ribosomal RNA
Source: RNAcentral